UGCCUUGAAGAUCGGAGUGCUUGCACUCUGUGAAACAAGAUACAGGCUAGCGGCGGACGGGUGAGUAACACGUGGGUAACCUGCCCAAGAGAUCGGGAUAACACCUGGAAACAGAUGCUAAUACCGGAUAACAACAGAUGAUGCCUAUCAACUGUUUAAAAGAUGGUUCUGCUAUCACUCUUGGAUGGACCUGCGGUGCAUUAGCUAGUUGGUAGGGUAACGGCCUACCAAGGCGAUGAUGCAUAGCCGAGUUGAGAGACUGAUCGGCCACAUUGGGGCUGAGACACGGCCCAAACUCCUACGGGAGGCAGCAGUAGGGAAUCUUCCACAAUGGACGCAAGUCUGAUGGAGCAACGCCGCGUGAGUGAAGAAGGGUUUCGGCUCGUAAAGCUCUGUUGUUGGUGAAGAAGGACAGGGGUAGUAACUGACCUUUGUUUGACGGUAAU
This 446-nucleotide ribosomal RNA is filed under the name uncultured Lactobacillus sp. Its description in RNAcentral is "bacterial SSU rRNA". It matches the Rfam family "Bacterial small subunit ribosomal RNA", at positions 56 to 479 of the family's 1533-position model. The record is from RNAcentral. Lineage: Bacteria; Bacillati; Bacillota; Bacilli; Lactobacillales; Lactobacillaceae.